RNAcentral lists this long non-coding RNA (1167 nucleotides) under Pogona vitticeps (central bearded dragon). RNAcentral's name for it is "lncRNA (ENSPVIG00000024352.1)". The record is from RNAcentral. Lineage: Eukaryota; Metazoa; Chordata; Lepidosauria; Squamata; Agamidae.
UUAUAUAGUAUAUUAUUUUAGUCAUUUUCAUAUAGUAAAGAUUGCUAUCCUUAGUUUUUAUUUAUCUAUCUCUAUACAUAAAUCAGCCUUUGGCUACAUUCUUAACCUUUAACCAUUUGCAUUUAGGUUGUCAGCAAUUCCGAAAUGUGGCCCGCAAUCCUGCUGAGGUAAGAGGUAAUCCAGCCACUGGGAAAACAUUAGAUUGGUGAAGCUGUGAUACAGGGAUUAGGGAAACCUGCGUUCUUCCAAUGCCAGCUGUAGUCCAAGGGCACCAGAAGGCCACAGGUUUCUCACCCUUGUGUGUAAUAGGUUGUCUUCUUGUUCCAAGAUAAUAACUAGUCAUGGGUGAGUGUUGUUUUCUCUGGUAAAGGAUAUACAUCUGACCCCACCUGUCACUUCCUUAAAAAGAAGAUAUUCAAAAUAUUAAAAAAUUGUUUCAGCUUUUCAUCAAAAUCUUUGCAGAUGGCUGGAAUCUUACUGGUGUUCCCAUAAGGUUUGUGUUAACUUGCUGUGGUUAAUCGCAGCAAAUGGAUGAGGUGCUAGGAACACACACCUCAGUUGUGCAUUUAGACAUGUGACCAGGAAUGUGCACUCGCACCUCAUCCAUUAGCCACAAUGAGCUACAGCAAGUCAGGCAAACACUACACACCAAUGAAACAUGGGCUAUUGUUUCUGCUACCGGUUUAAUUUUCAAGUGGCUCUCAGAUUAGUUUAUUUCACCUGUUGAUUUUGUUUUCUUUUUCUUGUAUGACACUAGGGUGAAAGGUCGCUGAGAAAUGCAUUAUGUAAACAAAGGAAAUAAACAAACAAGGAAGCCAAAAGGGACAAAGUCUGUCUGGGUCUGGAAAAAAUCUUCUUGUUAUAUUUUGGGAGGCUUCUUAUACUGUUCUUACGAUAUUCUUUCAUCUUAGGGAAGCGCUCUCUCUCUCUCUCUCUCUCUCUCUCUCUCUCUCUCACACACACACACACACACACACACCCACACACACACACACACACACACCUCUCUCUCNNNNNNNNNNNNNNNNNNNNNNNNNNNNNNNNNNNNNNUGGUGUUUGCAGAGGCAGGAUCAGAGUGCAUAAUUGUGGUGUAGUUUUCAGUGAUUGGAACUCUUUCAUGAGAAAGUGGGUGGCUCUGAAAAGAGCCUUUGGGUUCAUUGGUGCCUC